AUUUUACGAGGUGCUGCAUGGUUGUCGUCAGCUCGUGCCGUGAGGUGUCGGGUUAAGUCCCAUAACGAGCCGCUAACCCCUACCUUUAGUUGCCAUCAGGUUAAGCUGGGGACUCUAAAGGAACUGCCUACGCAAGUAGUGAGGAAGGCGGGGAUGACGUCAAAUCAGCACGGCCCUUACGUCCAGGGCUACACACGUGCUACAAUGGCCGAUACAGAGGGCAGCUACCUGGUGACAGGAUGCAAAUCUCCAAAGUCGGUCUCAGUUCGGAUCGGAGUCUGCAACCCGACUCCGUGAAGUUGGAUUCGCUAGUAAUCGCGCAUCAGCCAUGGCGCGGUGAAUACGUUCCCGGGCCUU
Molecule: ribosomal RNA, 357 nt
Filed under: uncultured Sphingobacteriales bacterium
Lineage: Bacteria; Pseudomonadati; Bacteroidota; Sphingobacteriia; Sphingobacteriales
Description: bacterial SSU rRNA
Rfam family: Bacterial small subunit ribosomal RNA
Source: RNAcentral